This is a non-coding RNA of Neogale vison (American mink), 83 nucleotides long. The record is from the annotation of a RefSeq genome assembly. Lineage: Eukaryota; Metazoa; Chordata; Mammalia; Carnivora; Mustelidae.
GCCUGGGUGGCUCAGUUGGUUAAGCAUCUGACUUUGGCUCAGGUCAGGUUCCAGGGUCCUGGGAUCAAGUCCCAGAUUAGGCU